CCUACGGGGCGCAGCAGUGAGGAAUAUUGGUCAAUGGACGAGAGUCUGAACCAGCCAAGUAGCGUGAAGGAUGACUGCCCUCUGGGUUGUAACCUUCUUUUAUAUGGGAAUAAAAUGUUCCACGUGUGGGAUUUUGUAUGUACCAUAUGAAUAAGGAUCGGCUAACUCCGUGCCAGCAGCCGCGGUAAUACGGAGGAUCCGAGCGUUAUCCGGAUUUAUUGGGUUUAAUGGGAGCGUAGGUGGAUUGUUAAGUCAGUUGUGAAAGUUUGCGGCUCAACCGUAAAAUUGCAGUUGAAACUGGCAGUCGUGAGUACAGUAGAGGUGGGCGGAAUUCGUGGUGUAGCGGUGAAAUGCUUAGAUAUCACGAAGAACUCCGAUGGCGAAGGCAGUUCACUGGACUGCAACUGACACUGAGGCUCGAAAGUGUGGGGAUCAAACAGGAUUAGAUACCCUUGUAGUC
RNAcentral lists this ribosomal RNA (460 nucleotides) under uncultured bacterium. Its description in RNAcentral is "partial 16S ribosomal RNA". It matches the Rfam family "Bacterial small subunit ribosomal RNA", at positions 338 to 795 of the family's 1533-position model. The record is from RNAcentral.